GACUUGUAUUUUGAAAGAUAUGCAUAUUUGAAAAACAUGAGUCGACCCAUGAGUCGACUCAUGGCACAUGAGAUGUUUGGCACGCUGAAUUCUUGGUCGGCACAAAUUUGGCACACCUUGUGAGUCGACCCAUGAGUCGACCCCCAAGGCAUGAGUCGACCCAUGAGUCGACCUCUGCGGGUUUUAAGCCAAUUUUACAGAACCGUGCUUCCCCUCU
This 217-nucleotide long non-coding RNA is filed under the name Elaeis guineensis (African oil palm). Its description in RNAcentral is "long non-coding RNA (EGUI_LNC066310)". The record is from RNAcentral. Lineage: Eukaryota; Viridiplantae; Streptophyta; Magnoliopsida; Arecales; Arecaceae.